Molecule: ribosomal RNA, 275 nt
Filed under: uncultured bacterium
Lineage: Bacteria
Description: partial 16S ribosomal RNA
Rfam family: Bacterial small subunit ribosomal RNA
Source: RNAcentral
CCUACGGGAGGCUGCAGUGAGGAAUCUUGGACAAUGGGGGAAACCCUGAUCCAGCCAUGCCGCGUGAGUGAUGAAGGCCUUCGGGUUGUAAAGCUCUUUUAGAUGUGAAGAUGAUGACGGUAGCAUCAGAAAAAGCUCCGGCUAACUCCGUGCCAGCAGCCGCGGUAAUACGGAGGGAGCGAGCGUUGUUCGGAAUUACUGGGCGUAAAGCGUAUGUAGGCGGCUUUGUAAGUCGGGUGUGAAAUCCCAGGGCUUAACCCUGGAACUGCAUUCGA